AGAGUUUGAUCCUGGCUCAGAACGAACGCUGGCGGCGUGCCUAACACAUGCAAGUCGAACGUGAAAGUCCUUCGGGAUGAGUAAAGUGGCGCACGGGUGAGUAACACGUAGGUGACCUGCCUUUUAGAGGGGAAUAACCAGAAGAAAUUUUGGCUAAUGCCGCAUACGAAGCACGGUUUUAAGACUGUGUUUGAAAGAAUGCCUCUGCAUAUGCAUUCACUAAAAGAUGGGCCUGCGGAACAUUAGCUAGUUGGUGGGGUAAAGGCCUACCAAGGCAACGAUGUUUAUCCGGUCUGAGAGGAUGAUCGGACACACUGGAACUGAGACACGGUCCAGACUCCUACGGGAGGCAGCAGUGGGGAAUAUUGCGCAAUGGGGGAAACCCUGACGCAGCAACGCCGCGUGAGUGAGGAAGGACUUCGGUCUGUAAAGCUCUGUUAAUGUGGAAAAAUGGUAGUUGGUCUAAUAGGCCGAUUAUUUGAUGGUACACAUAGAGAAAGCACCGGCUAACUUGUGCCAGCAGCCGCGGUAAUAC
RNAcentral lists this ribosomal RNA (535 nucleotides) under uncultured bacterium. RNAcentral describes it as "bacterial SSU rRNA". It matches the Rfam family "Bacterial small subunit ribosomal RNA", at positions 8 to 526 of the family's 1533-position model. The record is from RNAcentral.